This 458-nucleotide ribosomal RNA is filed under the name uncultured bacterium. Its description in RNAcentral is "partial 16S ribosomal RNA". It matches the Rfam family "Bacterial small subunit ribosomal RNA", at positions 338 to 795 of the family's 1533-position model. The record is from RNAcentral.
CCUACGGUGUGCAGCAGUGAGGAAUAUUGGUCAAUGGACGAGAGCCUGAACCAGCCAAGUCGCGUGAGGGAGUACUGCCCUAUGGGUUGUAAACCUCUUUUGUCGGGGAGCAAAAGCCGGACGUGUCCGGCUGUGAGAGUACCCGAAGAAAAAGCAUCGGCUAACUCCGUGCCAGCAGCCGCGGUAAUACGGAGGAUGCGGGCGUUAUCCGGAUUUAUUGGGUGUAAGGGGGGCGCAGGCGGAUUUUUAAGUCCACGGUCAAAUCUUGGGGCUCAACCCCAUCCAGUCGUUGAAACUGGGGAUCUAGAGUGCGCGAGAGGUAUGCGGAAUGCGUGGUGUAGCGGUGAAAUGCAUAGAUAUCACGCAGAACCCCGAUUGCGAAGGCAGCAUACCGGUGCACAACUGACGCUCAGGCACGAAAGCGUGGGUAUCGAACAGGAUUAGAUACCCCUGUAGUC